CGGAUGUGCCCAGAUGGGAUUAGCUAGUAGGUGGGGUAAUGGCUCACCUAGGCGACGAUCCCUAGCUGGUCUGAGAGGAUGACCAGCCACACUGGAACUGAGACACGGUCCAGACUCCUACGGGAGGCAGCAGUGGGGAAUAUUGCACAAUGGGCGCAAGCCUGAUGCAGCCAUGCCGCGUGUGUGAAGAAGGCCUUCGGGUUGUAAAGCACUUUCAGCGAGGAGGAAGGCAUAAAGGUUAAUAACCUUUGUGAUUGACGUUACUCGCAGAAGAAGA
This 277-nucleotide ribosomal RNA is filed under the name Yersinia enterocolitica. Its description in RNAcentral is "partial 16S ribosomal RNA". It matches the Rfam family "Bacterial small subunit ribosomal RNA", at positions 222 to 491 of the family's 1533-position model. Lineage: Bacteria; Pseudomonadati; Pseudomonadota; Gammaproteobacteria; Enterobacterales; Yersiniaceae. The record is from RNAcentral.